AUUGAACGCUGGCGGCAUGCCUUACACAUGCAAGUCGAACGGCAGCACGGGAGCAAUCCUGGGGGCGAGAGGCGAACGGGUGCGUAUUACAUCGGAACGUGCCGAGUCGUGGGGGAUAACGUAGCGAAAGCUACGCUACUACCGCAUACGAUCUAUGGACGAAAGCGGGGGAUCGCAAGACCUGGCGCGAUUGGAGCGGCCGAUAUCAGAUUAGGUAGGUGGUGGGGUAAAGGCUCACCAAGCCGACGAUCUGUAGCUGGGCUGAGGGGACGAGCAGCCACACGGGGACUGAGACACGGCCCAGGCUCCUACGGGAGGGAGCAGUGGGGAAUUUUGGACCAUGGGCGCAAGCCUGAUCGAGCAAUGCCGCGUGCAGGAUGAGGGCCUACGGGUUGUAAAGUGCUUUUGUACGGAACGAAACGGUGAGCUCUCAUACAGUUGGCUACUGACGGUACCGUAAGAAUAAGCCCCGGCUAACUACGUGCCAGCCGCCGCGGUAA
This 500-nucleotide ribosomal RNA is filed under the name uncultured bacterium. RNAcentral describes it as "partial 16S ribosomal RNA". It matches the Rfam family "Bacterial small subunit ribosomal RNA", at positions 29 to 523 of the family's 1533-position model. The record is from RNAcentral.